UUUAACGGCCGCGGUAUUUUGACCGUGCGAAGGUAGCGUAAUCACUGUCUUUUAAAUGAAGACCUGUAUGAAUGGCAUAACGAGGGCUAAGCUGUCUCCCUUAUCUGGUCAAUGAAAUUGAUCUGCCCGUGCAGAAGCGGGCAUACCACCAUAAGACGAGAAGACCCUAUGGAGCUUUAGACACUAGACAGCCCGAGUAACAGCCCCCUGCGCCCCCAGAAUGAACCCACACGGCCCCCUGUCCCCAUGUCUUCGGUUGGGGCGACCGCGGAGGAGAACAGACCCCCCGCAUGGAACGGAGAAAUUUUGAACCCGAGAUAAGCNCUACAGGCCUAAUCGACAGAACUUCUGGCCACCAAGACCCGGCUAUUUAGCGCCGAUCAAUGGACCCAGUUACCCUAGGGAUAACAGCGCAAUCUCCUUUUAGAGCCCAAAUCGACAAGGGGGUUUACGACCUCGAUGUUGGAUCAGGACUUCCUAAUGGUGCAGCCGCUAUUA
This 498-nucleotide ribosomal RNA is filed under the name Gobius niger (black goby). Its description in RNAcentral is "partial 16S ribosomal RNA". It matches the Rfam family "Bacterial large subunit ribosomal RNA", at positions 1923 to 2567 of the family's 2925-position model. The record is from RNAcentral. Lineage: Eukaryota; Metazoa; Chordata; Actinopteri; Gobiiformes; Gobiidae.